UAUGCAUCAUAAAACUUUUGCCAUUAUUCCAUACUUUGAAAUUCAUACUCUCAGAUGGUAGUGUAGCUAUGGCCGCUCUUAUUCCCACAGCAAGGCCUUUACCACUGCAGGGUCAUCUUCUAGUUACUAUUACCCACUGGCGGGGGUCGUAAAGACAAGUUACUUUUACCCACUGGCGGGUGUCGUAAAGACAAGUUACUUUUACCCACUGGCGGGUGUCAUAUGCCUAGUUACUAUUACCCACUGGCGGGGAUCGUGCAUAGUGAUCUGAGAGUUCUUAAAAACAUAUCCUGCUUUUCAUAAAUCUUUUCUCAUAGAUACAUUAGAAAGUGAAUAAUGGCAUCAUACUAAAUAGAACUCAUGAUCAUGCUGAAAACUU
Molecule: long non-coding RNA, 379 nt
Filed under: Phoenix dactylifera (date palm)
Lineage: Eukaryota; Viridiplantae; Streptophyta; Magnoliopsida; Arecales; Arecaceae
Description: long non-coding RNA (PDAC_LNC018634)
Source: RNAcentral